UGAUAAUGGAAGGACUAAAGGUGUUAAAACUAAAACUAAUAAUAAUAAAAACAAGGUUUAAACACCAAACACACUAAAAGAAGUGUGUCUGGUCGAUCUAAACAUCAGGAGCGAACAGGAGCUUCCCCACCAAACCCUAACUUGUGCAAAUUGAUCAAAUUGGGGCUUCAAAUCAGUUCCAAAUCGAUUUCCAAGCACGAAAUUGUCAUCUCCAUUGAAAAGGGAGUCAUAAGUUUGAUCUCGUCAAGCUAAGUGGGAGCUGGAAAGGAUUGGAUCAAACGGGUCAAGUGCGCAAGGAAAGCUCGAACGGACGCAAACUAUAAGAACGAAUAGAAAUUUGGAUAAUUACGUCAUCAUAGAAUAUUGAAUUAAUAAUAGCAAGGCAUAAACGGGUCUAUACGUUGACUCGAGCCAGGUACGCUUAUAUAUAGAUUUAUAGUUAAAAGUGUUUAACUUCCCUUCACGGGUCAAAAGGAGUAGAUAGGUAAAACGGGUUAAGAAUUCAUAAGAAACCCGUAAUUUGAACCUUGCACAUUAGUAAACUGAUAUAACGUGAUAUGCAUGAUAUUUUGAAAAGGGUAAUAAACAAGUUUGUUUGAUAAAUCACGAACGGGUCAAAAAGUGUCAUAAUUGAAUUUCAAGCUGAGAGCUUGAAAGUUAAAAUUUUGUGAAUUCAGAUGUUGGAUUUUAACUCCAUAUGAUAGAGGAUCAAAUUACAAUCACGUACAUUUUGGAUGCCGGAAGACGAUCAAGCUCAACGAAGAACCGAACACGAAUAAGAUAAA
This 785-nucleotide long non-coding RNA is filed under the name Helianthus annuus (common sunflower). RNAcentral's name for it is "hypothetical non coding rna". Lineage: Eukaryota; Viridiplantae; Streptophyta; Magnoliopsida; Asterales; Asteraceae. The record is from RNAcentral.